Molecule: ribosomal RNA, 1364 nt
Filed under: Escherichia coli
Lineage: Bacteria; Pseudomonadati; Pseudomonadota; Gammaproteobacteria; Enterobacterales; Enterobacteriaceae
Description: partial 23S ribosomal RNA
Rfam family: Bacterial large subunit ribosomal RNA
Source: RNAcentral
CGAAUGCUGACAUAAGUAACGAUAAAGCGGGUGAAAAGCCCGCUCGCCGGAAGACCAAGGGUUCCUGUCCAACGUUAAUCGGGGCAGGGUGAGUCGACCCCUAAGGCGAGGCCGAAAGGCGUAGUCGAUGGGAAACAGGUUAAUAUUCCUGUACUUGGUGUUACUGCGAAGGGGGGACGGAGAAGGCUAUGUUGGCCGGGCGACGGUUGUCCCGGUUUAAGCGUGUAGGCUGGUUUUCCAGGCAAAUCCGGAAAAUCAAGGCUGAGGCGUGAUGACGAGGCACUACGGUGCUGAAGCAACAAAUGCCCUGCUUCCAGGAAAAGCCUCUAAGCAUCAGGUAACAUCAAAUCGUACCCCAAACCGACACAGGUGGUCAGGUAGAGAAUACCAAGGCGCUUGAGAGAACUCGGGUGAAGGAACUAGGCAAAAUGGUGCCGUAACUUCGGGAGAAGGCACGCUGAUAUGUAGGUGAAGUCCCUCGCGGAUGGAGCUGAAAUCAGUCGAAGAUACCAGCUGGCUGCAACUGUUUAUUAAAAACACAGCACUGUGCAAACACGAAAGUGGACGUAUACGGUGUGACGCCUGCCCGGUGCCGGAAGGUUAAUUGAUGGGGUUAGCGCAAGCGAAGCUCUUGAUCGAAGCCCCGGUAAACGGCGGCCGUAACUAUAACGGUCCUAAGGUAGCGAAAUUCCUUGUCGGGUAAGUUCCGACCUGCACGAAUGGCGUAAUGAUGGCCAGGCUGUCUCCACCCGAGACUCAGUGAAAUUGAACUCGCUGUGAAGAUGCAGUGUACCCGCGGCAAGACGGAAAGACCCCGUGAACCUUUACUAUAGCUUGACACUGAACAUUGAGCCUUGAUGUGUAGGAUAGGUGGGAGGCUUGGAAGUGUGGACGCCAGUCUGCAUGGAGCCGACCUUGAAAUACCACCCUUUAAUGUUUGAUGUUCUAACGUUGACCCGUGAUCCGGGUUGCGGACAGUGUCUGGUGGGUAGUUUGACUGGGGCGGUCUCCUCCUAAAGAGUAACGGAGGAGCACGAAGGUUGGCUAAUCCUGGUCGGACAUCAGGAGGUUAGUGCAAUGGCAUAAGCCAGCUUGACUGCGAGCGUGACGGCGCGAGCAGGUGCGAAAGCAGGUCAUAGUGAUCCGGUGGUUCUGAAUGGAAGGGCCAUCGCUCAACGGAUAAAAGGUACUCCGGGGAUAACAGGCUGAUACCGCCCAAGAGUUCAUAUCGACGGCGGUGUUUGGCACCUCGAUGUCGGCUCAUCACAUCCUGGGGCUGAAGUAGGUCCCAAGGGUAUGGCUGUUCGCCAUUUAAAGUGGUACGCGAGCUGGGUUUAGAACGUCGUGAGACAGUUCGGUCCCUA